Molecule: long non-coding RNA, 2119 nt
Organism: Strigops habroptila (Kakapo)
Lineage: Eukaryota; Metazoa; Chordata; Aves; Psittaciformes; Psittacidae
Exons: 2
Source: RefSeq, a predicted model, not a curated record
GUCUCUUUUGUCAGUGCUCACCCUGCGGGCCGGGAGCGCUUCUCCCGAGGAUCCAUAAAACCCCUCCGCUUUCCUUUCCUCAAACCCACCCUUGCUCCUCAACGAGUGGAACAACAGAACGAAGCGACACCAAAACUCGCCCUUCCCUGGCCGAGGCUGCAGGGUGGAGAGCAGUGCGACCAGCGCAGUGUCUCCGUCGGCCUCGGUGGGAGCGCUCCUCGCCCCGGCCGCGGCGGGACCGGGGCCCGGGCAGAGGCUGGUCAUUGUAACCCCCGCGGCGGGAGGCGUCGGUCCUUGCCACGGCUGCUUUCCCCGCUCCGCGCCUCUUGCGAAGCCCCUUCCUAGUCUCUGCCUCGAACUCUGCCCCGCGCACGUUCCCCGGGCUGAUGCUGUUCAGAGCGGGUUUUUGUACAGCUCCGUAAAAAGUGCAUCACCGUGCCCUUUCGGAGGAUGGAAACGAGAUGUAAACGGAAUAAGUGAUUAUUGUCUUGGAAGCAGGCGAAGCCAGCGAAUCGAAGGGGGUGUAAUUGCAAUUCGGUGGCAAGAUUAUGCGGGAAUCUGAAACAAUCUUUGUGCAAAUGGGGACCCUGGAACAGAAAAUGUCGUGGAAAUUAAAAUUGAGGGUUGUUUGUUUAUGGGACCUUCAGGAUGUAUUGCCUGUAUUGCAUCUCCUCUGGCUGAGAGUUGGAUCUCCUGUGAACAAAACCAGAAAAGAGAAAUAUUACAACUGAACCAAAAUACGCUGAAUGGACUACAACCCUCAGAUUUGGUACCAAAAUCUAUGAAAGGAGACAAGAAGAAGAAGGGGGGGGGGAAGCAACUGGGAACUUCAUUCAGCAUCAUGUGUUACAAUUUAGACAGCAUCAAAGUAAAUGGUUGUAAAAAGUACAUUGUUCUGUUCCAGUUACUGUUUCUAAUGUUGCUUUUUUAUUCUGUUUUGUCCUUUUUUCCUUACUCAAAAUCUGUAGGCCAGAUUCUCCCUUUUAUUUAAACUUGUGUGUAGUUAGAAUGGCUUUCUUGAUAUUACCUAGCUUCCCUAUACUGAAUUGCAAUGGUCUAAGCAGAUUUUGGAGAAAUAUUUAAAGAAUUUUGUCCUUAAAACUGACCAACUGUAUCUUCACCACAUAACUCAAACUGAAAUUGUGGUACAAGAAAUAUGGGAUGAAUUUUAAGGGUGUACGAACAUACAUAAGGAAAUAAGCAUGGUUUGAAAGUAGUUAUGAAAUUCUGUUUUCACAAGUUCCCUUUUUUCAGGAUUCAAACAUUGUUUUUUGGCUACUCUGUGCAAGGCUGAAGCAAAAUUUCAAUAGCUUCAAUAAGGUGUUGAAGGUUACCCUUAGACAUAGUUCAUGAAAAUGAUACUGAGUCUUGGUUCUGUCCACACAAGAAUGAUCCUUAAAACUGGUUUUGAACUGAAACACUUGAACUGUCUUUUACAGUAGUAAAAGUAGAAAUUAGGCUUAAGUAAUAGAAAAAGAUUUUUUUUAAAUGCUUAAUUUAGUCAUUUGUGGUCAUAAGCAAAGCAAUACCUAAGCAAUUCUUUACCUGUGCACAAGAUUUUCUAUGAAAUAUGUAGCACACAUUUUUAUGCAUUUUUUAAAUGAUUUUUUGAUGAAUUUUUAAUAUAAAAAUGCAGUGGGUUCAUGACAUCUGACUUUUAUAUGUGUAUAAUAAAUCACUACAUGAGACUUUGCAUUUAGUCUUCCAGAUGUAAUGGCAUUUACAUUCCAAAUCUGGAUCAGAGAUGAAUUUUCCAUACGGUGUCAAUUUUAGAUCUUCAGGUGGGUUUAUAAGUCAGAGGAGCUCUAUUAUAGUAAAGAAGGCAAUGCAUUAAAUAAAUAUUACUGGUUCAUAAAGAAAUUGUACAGAAUUGGAACUGUCUUGUUUGAAAAACAUGCUCAUGUAAGAAGUCCUUUCUAUAGUUGAAAUUUCCAUUUGUUUGCUUGUUUGUUUUUAAACUAUUUUAGUUAGCACAAAUCAAAAAUAGUGCUAUAAAGCUUCACGCUUUAAAGUCUUCACAUACACCAGAAUGGUAAUAACAAUUCACUGUCAAAUUUUCUCUUGGGGGUUUUAAAGUUGUACACUGAGCUAAAUAGAUACUUUGAUUCAGUUUUCCGAA